AAUGACAUCCCCGAGGCAGGUGCCAUCCAUCAGGAGAUCACUUCAUGUCGCUUCCCUUCCGCUGUAAUGCCUGUGCAACAGCAGUGACCACUUCUCACAGGUGCAGUAACCACUGUCACUCAUUACUGAUGCUCCACUGAUGAGUCAGCAGCCAACCCUGGCACAGCACAACCAGGUCACUUAAACAUGAAGCGCCAAAGGCUAGCCGGACAGGUACCCAAGGUCUGAUAACCUGCGGUCGGAACAGCCCACAACCCCACAGUCUGGUUAGGAAAGCAUUACCAACAGAACGCCGUCUGCUGGAGUGUCCCCUACGUCCCAUGGCUGUCCUGGUUCUCCUAGGUGACCUGGAGGUCCUAUUUGCCAGUCCUGGUUCACCUGUUCACUAGCGUUUCUAGUGGGUCCAUUUGCCACUGUAGCGGAGUAGGAAGUAAGGCAAGAAAGCCUCUUACAGGCCAAGUGAACAAGCAUGAUAAUCCCCUCUGUGUCUGCUCUGCAACUACAGCUAAUCCAUACUCUGAUAAUCCUACAGGUGAGUCUUCACAAUACUCAUGAACACACAUCUCGCUAACGUAUACAUAUGCACAUAUACACGCACACGCACAUUGACAGUGUAUCAUACACACACUCUCUUACACGCAAAGGUGAACAUACAACUCUUUACGCUGGAACACAUGCAAGGCCCCCACAUGCAGCUACUCCCCUGCCCACAGUCACAUGUUUGCAGCAGUGUUCAUGUACAUGCUCUUUUCAGGCAUGCCAUGUCCAUACAUGCAUGUGUUGUGUGUUCUACAGCAUGCGUGUGUUUACAUAGUGGACGAUUGGCGUAAAGACCCCAGUGCAUAGCGAUGUGUCUUCAUCACCACGGUCUGACAUGAGUGGUCACAUUUCUACCUACAAGCACAUGCAGUGAAGGGGUUAAUUCCCGUUUAGCAUUCAUCACUCCAGGCCCCAAGGAGCUACAGCGUAUUCAGGGUCAGCAGCAGUAAUAUUAUAUCUUAACCUUUUCAGACAAGAUCCAGAGACACUCAGUAACUAGACAUUGUAGCUCUUGAGGGCCGGAGGUUGGCAGACAGCUGCUCCUAGCUGUUGCGCAUGGCCACAUGCACCUUGGGACUCCGGAAACAGAUGGGGCG
Long non-coding RNA from Scomber scombrus (Atlantic mackerel), 1136 nucleotides. RefSeq lists it as uncharacterized. The transcript has 3 exons. The record is from RefSeq and is a predicted model, not a curated record. NCBI's taxonomy places the organism in Eukaryota, Metazoa, Chordata, Actinopteri, Scombriformes, Scombridae.